GGCAAGGGAUGCCUCAGUAGCGGCGAGUGAAGCGGCAAGAGCUCAGAUUUGAAAUCUCACCUAGUGUGCGAGUUGUAAAUUGCAGGUUGGAGUCUCGGGUUAGACGUGUGUGCAAGUCCCUUGGAACAGGGUGCCACUGAGGGUGAGAGCCCCGUAUCGUGCAUGUCGACACCUGUGAGGCCCUUCUGACGAGUCGAGUUGUUUGGGAAUGCAGCUCUAAGUGGGUGGUAAAUUCCAUCUAAGGCUAAAUAUUGGCGAGAGACCGAUAGCGAACAAGUACUGUGAAGGAAAGAUGAAAAGCACUUUGAAAAGAGAGUGAAACAGCACGUGAAAUUGUUGAAAGGGAAGGGUAUUGGGCUCGACAUGGGAUUUACGCAUCGUUGCCUCUCGUGGGCGGCGCUCUGGGUUUUUCCUGGGCCAGCAUCGGUUUUCGUUGCAGGAUAAGGACAAUUGGAAUGUGGCUCCUCGGAGUGUUAUAGCCUUUUGUAGAUGCUGCGUAUGGGGACCGAGGGCUGCGGCGGACUCGUUUCGUCUCGGAUGCUGGCACAACGGCGCAAUACCGCCCGUCUUA
Molecule: ribosomal RNA, 571 nt
Filed under: Pichia kluyveri
Lineage: Eukaryota; Fungi; Ascomycota; Pichiomycetes; Pichiales; Pichiaceae
Description: partial large subunit ribosomal RNA
Rfam family: Eukaryotic large subunit ribosomal RNA
Source: RNAcentral